Non-coding RNA from Myotis brandtii (Brandt's bat), 73 nucleotides. NCBI's taxonomy places the organism in Eukaryota, Metazoa, Chordata, Mammalia, Chiroptera, Vespertilionidae. The record is from Rfam.
GCCGGUGUGGCUCAGUGGAUAGAGCAUUGGCCUGUGGACUCAAGGGUCCCGGGUUUGAUUCCGGUCAAGGGCA